UAGUGUUACAGCUCUUUUAGAAUUUGUCUAGCAGGUUUUCUGAGCAGAGCGAAAGCUUUU
This 60-nucleotide small nuclear RNA is filed under the name Macaca fascicularis (crab-eating macaque). RNAcentral's name for it is "U7 small nuclear RNA (ENSMFAG00000049691.1)". It matches the Rfam family "U7 small nuclear RNA". From Rfam's summary of the family: Animal histone pre-mRNAs are spliced by a different mechanism than nuclear pre-mRNAs and self-splicing introns. This processing involves the U7 snRNP, which contains only one RNA species: U7. The 5' end of U7 RNA is thought to base-pair to a conserved spacer element downstream of the cleavage site in histone pre-mRNA. Lineage: Eukaryota; Metazoa; Chordata; Mammalia; Primates; Cercopithecidae. The record is from Rfam by way of RNAcentral.